Molecule: ribosomal RNA, 253 nt
Filed under: uncultured bacterium
Lineage: Bacteria
Description: partial 16S ribosomal RNA
Rfam family: Bacterial small subunit ribosomal RNA
Source: RNAcentral
UACGUAGGGCGCAAGCGUUGUCCGGAAUUAUUGGGCGUAAAGAGCUCGUAGGCGGUUUGUCGCGUCUGCUGUGAAAACUCGAGGCUCAACCUCGGGCUUGCAGUGGGUACGAGCAGACUAGAGUGCGGUAGGGGAGACUGGAAUUCCUGGUGUAGCGGUGAAAUGCGCAGAUAUCAGGAGGAACACCGGUGGCGAAGGCGGGUCUCUGGGCCGAUACUGACGCUGAGGAGCGAAAGCGUGGGGAGCGAACAGG